AUUGAACGCUGGCGGCAUGCCUUACACAUGCAAGUCGAACGGUAACGGGCCUUCGGGUUCCGACGAGUGGCGGACGGGUGAGUAAUACAUCGGAACGUGCCCGAUCGUGGGGGAUAACGAGGCGAAAGCUUUGCUAAUACCGCAUACGAUCUACGGAUUAAAGCCGGGGACCGCAAGGCCUUGCGCGGACGGAGCGGCAGAUGGCAGAUUAGGUAGUUGGUGGGAUAAAAGCUUACCAAGCCGACGAUCUGUAGCUGGUCUGAGAGGAUGAUCAGCCACACUGGGCCUGAGACACGGCCCAGACUCCUACGGGAGGCAGCAGUGGGGAAUUUUGGACAAUGGGCGCAAGCCUGAUCCAGCAAUGCCGCGUGCAGGAUGAAGGCCUUCGGGUUGUAAACUGCUUUUGUACGGAACGAAAAGCCUUCUUUUAAUACAGGAGGGUCAUGACGGUACCGUAAGAAUAAGCACCGGCUAACUACGUG
This 482-nucleotide ribosomal RNA is filed under the name uncultured bacterium. RNAcentral describes it as "partial 16S ribosomal RNA". It matches the Rfam family "Bacterial small subunit ribosomal RNA", at positions 30 to 507 of the family's 1533-position model. The record is from RNAcentral.